GAUGAAGAACGUAGCGAAAUGCGAUAAGUAAUGUGAAUUGCAGAAUUCAGUGAAUCAUCGAAUCUUUGAACGCACAUUGCGCCCGCCAGUAUUCUGGCGGGCAUGCCUGUCUGAGCGUCAUUUCAACCCUCAUGCCCCUAGGGCGUGGUGUUGGGGAUCGGCCAAAGCCCGCGAGGGACGGCCGGCCCCUAAAUCUAGUGGCGGACCCGUCGUGGCCUCCUCUGCGAAGUAGUGAUAUUCCGCAUCGGAGAGCGAUGAGCCCCUGCCGUUAAACCCCCAACUUUCCAAGGUUGACCUCAGAUCAGGUAGGAAUACCCGCUGAACUUAAGCAUAUCAAUAAGCAGAGGA
This 348-nucleotide unclassified non-coding RNA is filed under the name soil metagenome. Its description in RNAcentral is "partial contains 5.8S ribosomal RNA, internal transcribed spacer 2, and large subunit ribosomal RNA". The stretch from base 1 to 120 matches the Rfam family "5.8S ribosomal RNA", at positions 35 to 154 of the family's 154-position model. The record is from RNAcentral.